Long non-coding RNA from Rosa chinensis, 871 nucleotides. RefSeq lists it as uncharacterized. The transcript has 3 exons. Lineage: Eukaryota; Viridiplantae; Streptophyta; Magnoliopsida; Rosales; Rosaceae. The record is from RefSeq and is a predicted model, not a curated record.
GGCUCCAAGCAUUCUCCAUGUUCCAGAGAACGAUCUUCUCUACCUUGUCUCCGAUCUUGUCUCUGCCGCCUUCUCGGAGCCUCCUGGCGGCUGGUCCUCCCUCCACAAGCUCGCCGUUCUGCUUCUCUUCAAUGUGAACACACCCAAUCACAAUCACAAACCCAAUAACCAUAACAUCAACCAUCCUCAAUAUCACACACCCAGAAUUUACCCAAAAAAAAAUAAAAAAUCUAAUCUUUACCCAAGCCGUCGAUGAACGCACGGCCACCGCCACCAUCAAGGCUGCUUCUCUUCAAUGUUAACAAAGAAAAAUAGUACAAAUCUUUGAAAAUGGAUUGAGGAGGAGGGGAGGAGGUCAGGGGCGGAUCCAAGUACACCUUUAGGAGGACUCAAGCCCACCCGAAGUCCCAGACAACAAAACUUGAGAACCCCCGAGUCCCCGACGAAGACUCUUACACUCCCUCUCAGUCUCUCACGUACUAUACUGCUCUAAGAGAUCAAACCUUAGAUGUUAGACCCAUAGUUUUGUCUUCUACUCUUCUUCUUCAAUUUGGGGCAAUCAAUCAAUUCAAUUGGAUUGAGGAUUGUUCUGUGUGCCAUCGAUGUGAGAGGAAUGAUGACGGUAGAGUUAUUUGCGGUGGAACUUGCUUACGAAAAUGAUACGAGUCAAACGUAUUAUUAGCCAAGGAGUUAUAGAGCAAAGUUCAUUGACAUCUGCCGUAAUAUGAGUCAGACAUCUACUGCUGAUUUUGUUGUUGAUUUUGUUCUUUGGUUUUGUAUAGAUACGUGUUUGAGGGUAAGGCUCACUAUGCCCCUUGACUAGGUGUAUUAUUUUUUUCAAAUAAUAAAAUUCUCUCGCGCCAUCGAAAUU